CACCCCUCAAUCUGACUGAUUUUGGUCCUUUGUCUGUGAUUGGCUGGCCCAUUACUGGCAGGACUUUUAUGUUGAUAAAUGUAGUUUUUGGACGUGACGUGGGUCUCUCUUUCCGCCCCGCUGUUGUUUUGCCGGCAGAGGACGCCGGCUGGCGUGUGAGCUGCUGCUAGCCGUGAUCAUUAUCCGGUAGAUUUGGUACCUUCAGCCAUUCUUGCGUGGAACUGCACUCUGCUGUGAACUGGCGUUCACUUCGCGCUGCCUAUACUGCACCGGUGUGUACCUCCUUGGUUGGUGUGUUGCCCCAUCAUCUGUGCCCUGUGGCAGGCCUGAUUCGUGGUGCUUACGCCGGCUUUGGAUUGGCCACAGUGGUUGGCCCCUGGGUACCUGACUGCAGUCAGUGGAUGUGUGUGGUCCAAAUUGCGAUUGUUCCGAACCACGGAUCCAUGAUCGGGUUAGCGGUGCCUCUCUGACGCCGUGGGAUUGCUGGCUGCACUCCUCGGAGGUUGCUGUUUUGUUGCCGUCACACUCUGCGCCGGUUCCGACUGGCUCCACCUGCUCGUCCUGCUUUUGUUUGGUUUAAUUAUUUUUAUUUUCUGGCCCAUUUCUUGGGACGCCAGCCUCC
Engraulis encrasicolus (European anchovy) is the source of this 622-nucleotide long non-coding RNA. RefSeq lists it as uncharacterized. Lineage: Eukaryota; Metazoa; Chordata; Actinopteri; Clupeiformes; Engraulidae. The transcript is spliced from 3 exons. The record is from RefSeq and is a predicted model, not a curated record.